RNAcentral lists this ribosomal RNA (492 nucleotides) under uncultured bacterium. RNAcentral's name for it is "partial 16S ribosomal RNA". It matches the Rfam family "Bacterial small subunit ribosomal RNA", at positions 29 to 507 of the family's 1533-position model. The record is from RNAcentral.
AGUGAACGCUGGCGGUAGGCCUAACACAUGCAAGUCGAACGGCAGCACAGUAAGAGCUUGCUCUUACGGGUGGCGAGUGGCGGACGGGUGAGGAAUACAUCGGAAUCUACUUUUUCGUGGGGGAUAACGUAGGGAAACUUACGCUAAUACCGCAUACGUCCUACGGGUGAAAGCAGGGGAUCUUCGGACCUUGCGCGUUUGAAUGAGCCGAUGUCGGAUUAGCUAGUUGGCGGGGUAAAGGCCCACCAAGGCGACGAUCCGUAGCUGGUCUGAGAGGAUGAUCAGCCACACUGGAACUGAGACACGGUCCAGACUCCUACGGGAGGCAGCAGUGGGGAAUAUUGGACAAUGGGCGCAAGCCUGAUCCAGCCAUACCGCGUGGGUGAAGAAGGCCUUCGGGUUGUAAAGCCCUUUUGUUGGGAAAGAAAAGCAGCAGGUUAAUACCCCGCUGUUCUGACGGUACCCAAAGAAUAAGCACCGGCUAACUUCGUG